CAUGCAAGUCGAGCGGAAAGGCCCUUCGGGGUACUCGAGCGGCGAACGGGUGAGUAACACGUGAGCAACCUGCCCUAGGCUUUGGGAUAACCCCGGGAAACCGGGGCUAAUACCGGAUAGGACCACCGGUCGCAUGGUUGGUGGUGGAAAGUUUUUCGGCCUGGGAUGGGCUCGCGGCCUAUCAGCUUGUUGGUGGGGUGAUGGCCUACCAAGGCGACGACGGGUAGCCGGCCUGAGAGGGCGACCGGCCACACUGGGACUGAGACACGGCCCAGACUCCUACGGGAGGCAGCAGUGGGGAAUAUUGCACAAUGGGCGGAAGCCUGAUGCAGCGACGCCGCGUGAGGGAUGACGGCCUUCGGGUUGUAAACCUCUUUCAGCAGGGACGAAGCGUAAGUGACGGUACCUGCAGAAGAAGCGCCGGCCAACUACGUGCCAGCAGCCG
RNAcentral lists this ribosomal RNA (445 nucleotides) under Micromonospora sp. 177. RNAcentral's name for it is "bacterial SSU rRNA". It matches the Rfam family "Bacterial small subunit ribosomal RNA", at positions 54 to 517 of the family's 1533-position model. Lineage: Bacteria; Bacillati; Actinomycetota; Actinomycetes; Micromonosporales; Micromonosporaceae. The record is from RNAcentral.